UCCCUCUCCAAAUCUAACUUGUACUGGAGCAAAGUUCAAUAUACAAGUGUCAAAAUGUUGGUUGGAAGAACAAGGUUAUAAUACGUCUGAUAUCAGACUGAACAGCACCAACCCCGAGUGUUUCGCAGUAAAUCAGAAUGUGAAUGGAAUAUCGGAGAUGACCCUUCAGCGUCCAUUGAUAACCUCUGACUGUAACACGGUUCCUGCGAUGAAUGCGACCCAUGUCAUGUACACAAACCAGCUGUAUAUUUUUGGCAAGACGGAUCCAAUCCGAAUAA
Long non-coding RNA from Rana temporaria (common frog), 278 nucleotides. RefSeq lists it as uncharacterized. NCBI's taxonomy places the organism in Eukaryota, Metazoa, Chordata, Amphibia, Anura, Ranidae. The transcript is spliced from 2 exons. The record is from RefSeq and is a predicted model, not a curated record.